AAACAAAAUAGUUAAAAAUUAUAAUAUUGGGUUGUCAUCCUAAAGUUACCUUGUUGAGUGGUUUUUGUUUA
Molecule: transfer RNA, 71 nt
Filed under: Brachidontes exustus (scorched mussel)
Lineage: Eukaryota; Metazoa; Mollusca; Bivalvia; Mytilida; Mytilidae
Description: tRNA-Asp
Rfam family: tRNA
About the family: Transfer RNA (tRNA) molecules are approximately 80 nucleotides in length.
Source: RNAcentral